RNAcentral lists this ribosomal RNA (496 nucleotides) under uncultured bacterium. Its description in RNAcentral is "partial 16S ribosomal RNA". It matches the Rfam family "Bacterial small subunit ribosomal RNA", at positions 29 to 507 of the family's 1533-position model. The record is from RNAcentral.
AUGAACGCUGGCGGCGUGCCUAAUACAUGCAAGUCGAGCGAACAGACGAGGAGCUUGCUCCUCUGACGUUAGCGGCGGACGGGUGAGUAACACGUGGAUAACCUACCUAUAAGACUGGGAUAACUUCGGGAAACCGGAGCUAAUACCGGAUAAUAUAUUGAACCGCAUGGUUCAAUAGUGAAAGACGGUUUUGCUGUCACUUAUAGAUGUAUCCGCGCCGCAUUAGCUAGUUGGUAAGGUAACGGCUUACCAAGGCGACGAUGCGUAGCCGACCUGAGAGGGUGAUCGGCCACACUGGAACUGAGACACGGUCCAGACUCCUACGGGAGGCAGCAGUAGGGAAUCUUCCGCAAUGGGCGAAAGCUUGACGGAGCAACGCCGCGUGAGUGAUGAAGGUCUUCGGAUCGUAAAACUCUGUUAUUAGGGAAGAACAAAUGUGUAAGUAACUAUGCACGUCUUGACGGUACCUAAUCAGAAAGCCACGGCUAACUACGUG